UCAGUUUACCAAAACACAUCGACACCAAAACUUGAGACAACUCCAACACCACCCUAUGCUGCCACCGGUCCGGUUGCUAUCAAUUGGGAAGGAGAAGGCCAAGAAUAUACCCACAAUAUGUUAACCACAAAGGUCACAGUGAGAGGGGGAGGAAGAGGCCGAGAGGGAGAGGCUCACAAAGAGGGGAUUAUUGCACUCUAAUGGAGGCCGAGAGAAUGAGGGGAUUAUAUGCCAAGCAUAUUGUCCAAAAUAGGUAGGUUACAAUUAGGGUUAAGUGUUGGAUCAACAAACUAGGCUCGACUCAAUAAUUGGGCCUCAAUAAUAAUAAAAUAGCCUUCCAAGGAAUGGUGCGGGAACCGUGAGCAACACUAUAAAAUAGGUUACUUCGAACGGUCCAUAACAGAGUGGAUUGUGUUGUUUCGUUAAUUGUGUCGAUGUACUAAUCAAUCAUUAGGCCGAGGCCAAUUGAUAAUAAACAACCGAGGUUACGUCAUCGCCCGGGGAGGUCGUUUGACAACAAAAUUACCUAACAACCUCCACCUUGGUGUCAAAGGACCUGCAAAGAAAAUUGUUUCCCAUUAGUGACACCUCUAAUAGAAAAACAAUAAAAUUGGAAAUCAUUUACCUGUACCAAUGUUUAGAAGUUCCUUGCAACUCUUAAACUUUGCCAGUGGCAGUACCUUCGUCCCCAUAUCAGAUGGGUUAUAGUGGGUAUGAACUUUCUCAAGUCUUACCACCUCUUGAGAUACUAUAUCUCUAAUGAAGUGGAGUCUAACAUCAAUGUGUUUAGUGCGCUCGUGAAAAACAGGAUUUUUGCAUAAAUGUAUGGAUGACUGACUAUCAGAAUACACUACCACAUAAUCAUUCAGAACACAUAGUUCAUGAAGUAGACCUCUAAGCCAUAGAGCUUCUUUAAUAGCUUUAGUGGUGGCAAUAUAUUCUGAUUCUGUAGUGGAUAGAUUGCAAGGGGAUUGUUCCUUAGAUAGAACAAAAUGAUUAGCAAGGGGCAACGUGACAGGUUUGCAUUCACUCAUAUUGAACUUCUUCAAUACUUUGGAUAUAUAUGGAGACUGAUGCAAAAACAAAACAGAAUUUGACCUAUCUCUUUCAAUUUCAAUACCUAAGAUUCUCUUAGCCUUACUUAGGUCUUUCAUGUCAAAUUCACCACUUAAUUUUAUUUUUAUGUUAUUUAUCCACUUAGAGGAUGAUCCAAUCAAAAGCAUGUCGUCCACAUAGAGCAACAAAAACAGAUAAUUAUCGUCAGUCUCAUUGUGUUGAAAGUACAGGCAGUGAUCAAAUUUACUUCUUUGAAACCCUAUAGUGAGUACAAAGGAAUCAAACCUCUUGUACCACUGUCUAGGAGAUUGUUUUAACCCAUACAAGGAUCUCCUCAAAAACCACACAUAAUCAGGUUUUGACUUAUCCUUAAAGCCUUUAGGUUGAUUCAUGAAAAUUUGUUCAUCAAGCUCACCAUGUAAGAAAGCAGUUUUUACGUCAAGUUGUUCAAGUUCCCAGUCAAAUUGUGCAACCAAUGCGAGCAUGACCCUAAUAGUGGUGAACUUAACAACUGGUGAGAAAAUUUCAUUAUAAUCAACGCCCUCCUUCUGUGUGUAGCCUUUAGCCACUAACCUAGCUUUAAACCUUCGGGUUCCGAACUGCUAGUUCCUUCCUUAACCUUAAAAACCCAUUUGCAAUUCAACAAUUGAUUUGUUCUUAGGCUUAGGUACUAGCUCCCAAGUAUGAUUCUUUUCCAGAGAACUCAUCUCUUCUUUCAUUGCCUUAAGCCAUUCAUUUGAUUGAUCACUGCCUAUUGCUUCUUCAAAAGUCUUUGGCUCUUUUUCAGCUAGUUCCUCAUAACUAGACUGGGCAAAAGCUAAUUCAGAUUCAAAACCAAACCUUCUAGGUUCCCUCGACUGUCUCCUCUCUGUAUCUCUAACUAAGUUAUAGUUAGCUAAGGGAUUCUCUUCCUCAUAGUGUUCUUCUGUCACUAUUUCGUUACUAUUUUCCACUUCGGGUUCCUGAGUUUGAGUCUCCACCUCAUUUGAGACAGUAGGGGCAGGUGGACUGAGUUUUCCUAACUCCACCUUAAAUUGGUCUCUCUCUUCACCCGAUUCUACUUCACUCUCGGGUUCAAUUUUCCCUUUAAUACACGGCAUUUCUUUUUCGUUAAACGUGACAUCUCUACUUAUGAUGAUUUUAACUCUGUUUUGGCUUCUAUCCCAUAAUCUAUAACCCUUAACACCUUCGGGAUAUCCUAAGAAAACACACUUCCUAGCUCUAGGUUCCAGCUUACCCUCACUUUGAUGAGAAAAAGCUGUACAGCCAAAAGUUCUAAGUAUCGAGUAAUCACUUAGUUUACCCGACCAUCUCUCAUGUGGAGUAUCACCAUUCAAUGCAGCAGAGGGUGUAAGAUUAAUCAAAUAGCAAGCUGUCAUAACAGCCUCAUCCCAAAAUGACUUGGGAACCCCCAAACUGAUCAUCAUGCAACGUACUUUAUCAAGUAUGGUUCUAUUCAUCCUUUCUGCUACCCCAUUUUGCUGAGGGGUGUAGGGAACAGUCUUAUGUCUAGUUAUGCCGCUUUCUUUACACAUACUAUCAAAUUCUUUAUUGCAGAAUUCUAGGCCAUUAUCAGUCCUUAAAAAUUUGAUUUUCUUGCCAGUCUGGUUCUCCACUUGUCUCUUCCAAUUAUUAAAACUAUUGAAGGUCUCAGAUUUAUCCUUCAAAAGAUAGAUCCACACUUUCCUAGUGUAGUCAUUAAUAAUAGACAGGAAAUACCUAUUACCACCCGAUGUGGGGUUACUGGCAGGGUCCCAAAGGUCAGAGUGCACAUAUUCGAGCAUGCCUUUAGCUCUAUUAAUACUCGUGGAGAAAGAAGUUUUGUGAUGCUUACCAAGUACACAAUGAUCACAAAAUGGCAAAUCUGACACACAGUCAUUACCAAAAGCACCCUUUUCAUUAAGUAGCUUAAGUCCCUUGACUCCUACGUGAGCAAGCCUAUUGUGCCAUGUGUGUGUGUGAUCAAUCUUGACAGAGAAGAUAGAAGAAUUCAUAUCUCUAAUCACUUCCCCAGUAGUAAUGUAUAUAUCGUUUUUCUUAAUUCCAUUAAUGGAAACUAAAGCACCCUUGAUCAUUUUUAGCAUACCAUUUCCAAUUUUACCAGUAACGUCAUCCUUCUCAAGUCUCCCUACUGAAAUCAAAUUCCUAGACAAUUCAGGAAUAUAUCUAACAUCCUUUAACGUAUACACAAAACCCGUGUCAAAUUUUACGUUUAUGUCACCAAUUCCAGUGAUAGUAUAGGCAAAGUUAUCACACAGCACAACAUGCCCAACUUUAGAUUCAUGCAACUUACAAAACCAGUUCUUUUCAGACGUCACAUGAAAAGAUGCACCAGAAUCAAGUAUCCACUCAUGGAUGCGGGAAUUAGCAGUUAGAUUUAAUUCAGCAGUGUAUGCAGCUGGACUUGUAAUCAUAUAGACCUCACCACCAUUUAUAUCAGAAGUAGAUGCUAACACAUUUACCUCAUCUCUCUCCUUAGCUUUUAGCUUACCCUUCUCCUUAUGACAAUCCUUUAUAAAAUGCCCUGUGUUUCCACAACCAUAGCAUUUUCUCGCCUUAGUUCUAGAUUUUGAUCUAGACCUACCUUUGCUCUUCUUUUUUCAUCCAUUACCACUUGACUCGCCACUAGUUUGAUAUCCCUCAUGACUAUUUUACCUAAAUUGAGUUCUACCCCGCAUCAUAUGUACUUCACCAUUCAUUUUAUCAUGUUUUUCAGCCUUAAUUUCCAUUUCUCUACUUCUAAGGGAAUCUAUGACAAUUUCAGGUGUUAACGUGUCUCUGCCAUACUUUAUGGCAUUCUUAACUUCCUUAUAGGAAUCAGGGAUUGCAUUUAGCAAAAUUAUAGCCUUAUAAGUUUCGGACACAGUCUCAUCACAAUUAACUAUGUCUUGCACCAAUUUGUUAAACACGUCUAGAUUGUCAUCAAGAUCCUUUGAAGAAUCCAUUUUGAAAUUGAAAAAAACGUUCAAGCAGGUAAAGCUUAUUAGGUGUAGACUUAAGCAAAUACAAGUCUUCUAAUUUCUUCCAAAGUUCUUUGGUGUUUUUUAAUUUACCCACCUUUCUUAAAACAUCGUCAGACAAGUGUAAGAUAAUUGAGGUAUAAGCAAGCUCAUCGGCUUCUUCUUUUUGUUCUUGUGAAAAAUUAGUUGAAAAAUUGUCUUCAAUGGCUUUUGAAACCUUUUGUUGGACUAAAAUACCCUUCAUUUUUUUGUUGCCAAAUAGCAAAGUCACCCUUUCCGUUAAAAAUUCCCAAAUCAAAACUAUGAGUUGUCAUCUUCACACAAUAGCCAAAAAAUGCACAAACCACAAUCAAACCACACAAAGUAGUCCUAGGGGUCACAGACAAUAUACUCCGUUCUAGAUUCUCAGGGUUUCAUAAGACUCGCGGUCUUAGACCAAAGGAAUGUUCGAAAGGGUAAAGUCACGGUAUUUCUAACGGAAUAAGUAAGCAGCGAAAAUAACAAUGCAGCAAAAAAUACGUCUAGCAGAUAACUAGUCCCACAGUAAUUUUGAUCACUAAGAAUUACAAAACUAAUUUUAAACCCAAAAAACAAAUACUCAAUCAAAAGGAUCAAUUAAGAGCACAUAACCCUAAUUCUAGCACAAGCAAUGGUUGCCAAGCAAUGACAACCCCCAACCUAUUGUCACCCCACACGGUGACGCGCUAAUGCUGAAAAAUUAACGGGUUAAGCCAAUUUACCAGAGCGGACGUGUCUGAGUCCGUAUUAUUGAGAGAGAUGCGAAUCUACUGCUUUAGGACCGCAAUCUUGGCCUAAAGUAAUUCAGUAUGUAUAAGCAGAUUCAACCGUCGAUCCAUCGGGGGCAAAAUUGUCCAACUUUUUCUGUAUAACCUGAAACAGAAAAUAAACAGUGUCAGUGCGUUCAGGGGAUUAAAAUAAGCAAACUGCCCGAAGGAAGCUCGCCCGGAACCGCCGCCACGCGCCACAGCCUGCUGAUCCCAAAUAUGGGUUCGGUUUCGCCGGAAAGUGGCUGGAUUGGCCGGAAAUCAAGGUUGCAGCCGCGGUUCUUCAACCCCAAAUCACGAUUGCCGUCGGUUUUUAUCAAUUUUCAGGCCGGGAAAGCUUCUACUAGCUCUGAUACCACCUGUAGGACCGAAUUCGAUAGCCAACUAGUGCAAAACCGGGCUUAGUUUACCAAAACACAUCGACACCAAAACUUGAGACAAUUCCAACACCACCCUAUGCCGCCACCGGUCCAGUUGCUAUCAAUUGGGAAGGAGAAGGCCAAGAAUAUACCCACAAUAUGUUAACCACAAAGGUCACAGUGAGAGGGGGAGGAAGAGGCCGAGAGGGAGAGGCUCACAAAGAGGGGAUUAUUGCACUCUAAUGGAGGCCGAGAGAAUGAGGGGAUUAUAUGCCAAGCAUAUUGUCCAAAAUAGGUAAGUUACAAUUAGGGUUAAGUGUUGGAUCAACAAACUAGGCUCGACUCAAUAAUUGGGCCUCAAUAAUAAUAAAAUAGCCUUCCAAGGAAUGGUGCGGGAACCGUGAGCAACACUAUAAAAUAGGUUACUUCGAACGGUCCAUAACAAAGUGGAUUGUGUUGUCUCUUUAAUUGUGUCGAUGUACUAAUCAAUCAUUAGGCCGAGG
This 5663-nucleotide long non-coding RNA is filed under the name Olea europaea (common olive). RNAcentral's name for it is "long non-coding RNA (OEUR_LNC005793)". The record is from RNAcentral. Lineage: Eukaryota; Viridiplantae; Streptophyta; Magnoliopsida; Lamiales; Oleaceae.